CCCUUAGAUGUUCUGGGCCGCACGCGCGCUACACUGAGUGUCUGAGAUACGAGUCUGCCUGGUCCGGCAAGGUCUAGGUAAUCGCUAAAAGACACAUCAUGCUUGGGAUAGAUUAUUGCAAAUAUUAAUCUUGAACGAGGAAUUCCUAGUAAGCGCAAGUCAACAGCUUGCGUUGAUUACGUCCCUGCCCUUUGUACACACCGCCCGUCGCUACUACUGAUUGGAUGUUUAAGCGAGGUUCUCGAACUGCUAGCGACGUAGCUUCGGUGAGGUCGCAGUGUGGGAAGUGAACCUAGCUUUGGUGUCUAGAGGAAGUAAAAGUCGUAACA
This 329-nucleotide ribosomal RNA is filed under the name uncultured eukaryote. Its description in RNAcentral is "partial 18S ribosomal RNA". It matches the Rfam family "Eukaryotic small subunit ribosomal RNA", at positions 1470 to 1796 of the family's 1831-position model. The record is from RNAcentral.